Molecule: ribosomal RNA, 831 nt
Filed under: Ansonia longidigita (long-fingered stream toad)
Lineage: Eukaryota; Metazoa; Chordata; Amphibia; Anura; Bufonidae
Description: partial 16S ribosomal RNA
Rfam family: Bacterial large subunit ribosomal RNA
Source: RNAcentral
UGAGUAAUUCUAUAACACUAUAGAAAAUUUUAUGUUAAAACUAGUAACAAGAAGAAGAACCUUCUCUUUAAUGUAAGUGUAAAUCAAAAUGGACAAACCACUGAUAAUUAACACCUAUGAACCUAAAGUAGUAACAAACCAAGAAAAAUCUACUCUCACCAACGUUAAUCUAACACAAGAACAUUAUAAGAAAGAUUUAAAAAAUAAGAAGGAACUCGGCAAAUCUUAGCCUCGCCUGUUUACCAAAAACAUCGCCUCUUGAAUUUUAAAUAAGAGGUCCAGCCUGCCCAGUGACUCUGUUCAACGGCCGCGGUAUCCUAACCGUGCGAAGGUAGCGUAAUCACUUGUUCUUUAAAUAAGGACUAGUAUGAAUGGCAUCACGAAGGCUAUACUGUCUCCUUUUUUUGAUCAGUGAAACUAAUCUUCCCGUGAAGAAGCGGGAAUAAACAUAUAAGACGAGAAGACCCUAUGGAGCUUUAAACAACAUAGCACUUACCACGCAUACAAAAAUUUAUGUAUUACAAAACUCACCAGGUAAAAUGUCUAUAAGUUUUUGGUUGGGGUGACCACGGAGCACAACAUAACCUCCAUGUUGAAAGAACACCAUUCUUAACAAAGAACUACUUUUCUAAGUAUCAACAUUUUGACAUCCAUUGACCCAAUGAUUUUGAGCAACGAACCAAGUUACCCUAGGGAUAACAGCGCAAUCCACUUUAAGAGCCCCUAUCGACAAGUGGGUUUACGACCUCGAUGUUGGAUCAGGGKUUSGCAAUGUGAGUGCAGCCGCUACUAAAGGUUCGUUUGUUCAACGAUUAAAACCCUACGUGAUCU